This 253-nucleotide ribosomal RNA is filed under the name uncultured bacterium. Its description in RNAcentral is "partial 16S ribosomal RNA". It matches the Rfam family "Bacterial small subunit ribosomal RNA", at positions 524 to 776 of the family's 1533-position model. The record is from RNAcentral.
GACGAACCGUGCGAACGUUGUUCGGAAUUACUGGGCGUAAAGGGCUCGUAGGCGGCCAACUAAGUCAGACGUGAAAUCCCUCGGCUUAACCGGGGAACUGCGUCUGAUACUGGAUGGCUUGAAUCCGGGAGAGGGAUGCGGAAUUCCAGGUGUAGCGGUGAAAUGCGUAGAUAUCUGGAGGAACACCGGUGGCGAAGGCGGCGUUCUGAACUGCAACUGACACUGAAAAACGAAAGCCAGGGGAGCAAACGGG